RNAcentral lists this long non-coding RNA (861 nucleotides) under Linum usitatissimum (flax). RNAcentral's name for it is "long non-coding RNA (LUSI_LNC005181)". Lineage: Eukaryota; Viridiplantae; Streptophyta; Magnoliopsida; Malpighiales; Linaceae. The record is from RNAcentral.
CCUGAGGAUGAAGUCAAAUAUUGCUACCCCUCUAUGGUACCCACCUGACUUACCAUGCUUUGCUAGUGCAAUGAGAGGUGCUUUCCCCUUGGUUACUGAGCUCGACUCUGGGACAUCGAUGGUGGUCGACAUGUUUUGCCUAUGAAGAAGAAGAGUGUGCUGUAGUUGAUGAGAGAGUUGUGGUUGAGUUUGAAGUUAAUGAGAAUGUGGGGUGGAAUGAAGGAGAUUAAAUAGGGGAGGAGUUUGCUUGAGGGGAUCUAAGUGUGGGUUAGUUCAACUGAAUGGGCUACAAAGGGGAGUUGUUGGUUUUUCUUCUUCUUUUUGGGUUCUGCAAUUGGAUAAUUUGCAGAGUGGUUGUUCCUGCUUCCUUAAUAAGAAGUAGAGUCAACCAAAAUCAAUGGUUGGAACUUGAUCUUAGAACAAAAAUACAAAACCAAGCCAAAUGGUUCAGUUCAUUCACCAGUUGGAAUACUCCAGUAAUGAACUCAAUAUUUUGUUUGUGAUGAUCCAGAUGUACGUUGUGUAAUUGGAAAAAAAAAUCAACCAUUAUAGAUUCUUGGGGUUAAUAACAUGAAUAAUAACAUGAGCAAUCAAAUCUAAGGAUCAAGCAGCUAGACAAGAUCUUGCCUCUUAAGCAUUUUGCACAAAUUUGCGGUCGUCCUUGUUAGCAUUUCGUCCUGAAGCUGGACAUAACUUCAUGGUGAUGGAGAUAUAAUCCAUCCACGCUCUGCAAGCGCUUCGACGACUUUAGUAGCUGCUGUUGCAGUAUCAUUCAGUGGAGAGUAGGUCCAGUUCUCUGAUAGCUGUAAGAUGUACAACUUUUAAGUUAAUGGUGAAGUUGUGCAACCUUUGCUAUUUCGC